AAUGGUUUACACCUGGGUCUGAUGGAAACGUCUCUGUUCCAGGCCGAGACGCAUCCAGGGCAUUCGUGACCGGGGACUGUUCUGAAGCAGGCCUCGUGGAUGACGUAUCCGACCUGUCAGCCGCUGAGAUGCUGACACUUCACAAUUGGCUUUCAUUCUAUGAGAAGAAUUAUGUGUGUGUUGGGAGGGUGACAGGACGGUUCUACGGAGAGGAUGGGCUGCCCACCCCGGCACUGACCCAGGUAGAAGCUGCGAUCACCAGAGGCUUGGAGGCCAACAAACUACAACUGCAAGAGAAGCAGACAUUCCCGCCGUGCAACGCCGAGUGGAGCUCAGCCAGGGGCAGCCGGCUCUGGUGCUCCCAGAAGAGGUAAGCAGGCUCCCCUUCUUCUCCUUUCUGCCUGUCCCAAAUCCAACUCCUAGGCCAUCCUGCCUGCAGUAUUCAGUGAAUUCAGGAACUGAUUGUUAACCCCGGGGAGCUUUUUCAAAAUACUGAUAAUAAUUCUCAACUUUGGCUGCAUAUUAGAUCUUCUGGGGAAUUGCCAAAAUUACGGAUGGUCAGACCUCACUCCACUCAACUGAAUGGGUUGAGACUUGGACUUGAGGCCUGGGCAUCUUUUUAUUUUUUCCGAAUUCUCCAGAGAUCCUGCUGACACAAUCUUGACCCGGGAAUGAGAAGGCACGAGCAGGAUUUCUUGCUUUCUUUGGCCUGCUCAGCCACCCACGGGCUUUGGUUUCCUGUUUGACAGCACAAAUCAUGCCUAUCUAUAGGAGAGGGACGAGGAGGUGGGGAGGGUACCUGCAGUGAUGGCUUCAACUGCUGUCUUAAAAACAGGUGAGGCGGGCAUGGUGGCUUGUGGGCCACACCUGUGGUCCUGGCUACUUGGGAGACUGAGGCAGGCAGGUCGCUUGAGCUCAGGAGUUGGAGUCCAGCCUGGGCAACAUAACAAAAAAACAGUAACAAACAAAAAAAACCACUGCAAAUUCGGAGUUCUCAGCCUUAAAUGAGGGGAGCAAGGGCAAAGGUAGCAGGAAGGAAAGCUCCUUCUUUCCUGGCCGCUAGCUUUGAAGAGACAGCUUCUCCAGUGUCAUCUCAAGAAAGGGGGGACUGUGAGAACCUGGCCUGCUCACUUUAUGGAGAGAAGCUAAGAUAGGCGUGGGCCUUCCUGUGACACAGGCCUGAAUGCAGGUAGCCUCAGAGAGCACUGGUCUCUGAGACUCCAGGAGGAGGAGACUCCAGGAGGCCUGCGUGCGUUCAGAUGCUUGACUUUGCUUCCUUGGGCCCUGCCUCCUUUUCCCUCCCCACAGCCUUCCCCUGUGUCUCCUGAACCUCGUCUUGCUUUCAUGACUGAGUAGUUCAGGCUCUGCCUUCCCCACAAAACCCUUCCAGGGCCACCCUAGUGAACUGCGGGGCCCUAUCCCUGUGCCUCAGCUCAGUUUGUUGUCUUCUGUUCACCUGUGUGUGUCCCAUUAGACUGAGAGGAACAAGUGCCGAAGGCAGGGACAAGGUGUGGAGUACGGAUCCCCAGUGAUGGGAUGGAGGCUGGGUGGAAGAGGAGGCGUUUGGGUGACAGCCUUGUUCUUGGUAAGCUAGAAGUAGGAUGUUUUCUCGCUGGGGGCAGUUUCUCUGACAGCAGGCACCGGAAGCUGUCUGAGGCGUCAGUUCCAAGAACCUCAGUUUCUUUCUUGCAAGGCCUCUGAGUCCAUCAGAGACUGAGCCCAGUGCCCUGAGGUGGGCAAGGCCCCUGCCCAAGAUAGGAGGGUGCUCAGGUUGUUGGGCCACAGCUGAAUCCUCCGUGUCUGAAGCCUAGUGCCAUCAAGGACUGGACCUGUGGGGCACAGGACAGCUUGCAGCUACACUCUAUGCCAAGGGCUUCCCAGAGAAGGCCGAC
RNAcentral lists this long non-coding RNA (1892 nucleotides) under Pan troglodytes (chimpanzee). RNAcentral describes it as "long non-coding RNA NONPTRT006606". The record is from RNAcentral. Lineage: Eukaryota; Metazoa; Chordata; Mammalia; Primates; Hominidae.